This 577-nucleotide ribosomal RNA is filed under the name uncultured bacterium. Its description in RNAcentral is "bacterial SSU rRNA". It matches the Rfam family "Bacterial small subunit ribosomal RNA", at positions 338 to 916 of the family's 1533-position model. The record is from RNAcentral.
CCUACGGGAGGCAGCAGUGAGGAAUAUUGGACAAUGGGCGCAAGCCUGAUCCAGCCAUGCCGCGUGCAGGAAGACGGUCCUAUGGAUUGUAAACUGCUUUUGUACAGGAAGAAACACUCCCUCGUGAGGGAGCUUGACGGUACUGUAAGAAUAAGGAUCGGCUAACUCCGUGCCAGCAGCCGCGGUAAUACGGAGGAUCCAAGCGUUAUCCGGAAUCAUUGGGUUUAAAGGGUCCGUAGGCGGUUUAAUAAGUCAGUGGUGAAAUCUGGUCGCUCAACGAUCAAACGGCCAUUGAUACUGUUAGACUUGAAUUAUUAGGAGGUAACUAGAAUAUGUAGUGUAGCGGUGAAAUGCUUAGAUAUUACAUGGAAUACCAAUUGCGAAGGCAGGUUACUACUAAUGGAUUGACGCUGAUGGACGAAAGCGUGGGGAGCGAACAGGAUUAGAUACCCUGGUAGUCCACGCCGUAAACGAUGGAUACUAGCUGUUCGGAGCAAUCUGAGUGGCUAAGCGAAAGUGAUAAGUAUCCCACCUGGGGAGUACGUUCGCAAGAAUGAAACUCAAAUGAAAUUGACGG